UUCUUUCAUAUGCUAGAUAUUUCUUGCCUUGAUAAUUUGUUUGCCUACAAAACACCUAUGCAUAGGAAGUAUGUUAGACUUAAAUGUGUUUGUCACAAGUUUUAUGAUGCUCUCUUUGUAUUCAAUUCUUGACUUUCAUGUGAGCAUCGUUAAAUUUGCAAGCCUAUCUUAAUGGCUAUAAAGAAAGAGCUUGUUGGGAGGCAACCCAAUGGACAAAAUAAAUUUUCUCUUUUUCUUUCUAUUCUUGAGUGUUUGUACAACGAUGCUACUAUUAUAAUUGUGCUUUUAUGUUUUAAUUAGUGUUUGAGCCAAGUAAAGCCUUUGGGAUCAUGUUGGGCGAUAGUUUAUUUGAUCUUGUUGAAAAACAGAAACUUCCGCGUCCAGUAGCAGAAUUUUUAAAAAACACAGAAGCGCGAUAAAAUUCUGAUUUUUUUACAAAAGAUUCAUAUACAAAUUGUGUCGGUGAGAACGACACCUAUUGGAUCACAAGAAUCCCUACUACGGUUGGCGGGGCGCGUGAUUGUGAGAAGAGCAGGUCUAACAGGAAGCACAUGGAUCGUUUACCCAGGUUCGGGCCGCGAGGAUGCGUAAUACCCUAGUACUGCUUUGGUGGAUGUAUUGAGUGUUCUUGUGUUCUUGAGCUAGCUACAAGGUGCAACAUGCCCAAAAGAGCCGAAUCCCCCUCCAGUACGCCAUGGGCCUCCUUUUAUAGUUGAAAGGGGCUGCCACAGUGGCACACACGAGGUGUAAAGGUCUACAGUGCUGCGAGCUUAUCGCCCGUGUUAUAGGACAAGACGCAUUUAAUGCAUCGCUUAGGUGUCCCCUUGCUUUAUCGGGGACGGGAACGAAGCCCGUCCCGUCUGUCGCCGCCUCGCCUUGCUUUGUCACGCGCCCAGGCCAGCGAUGCAUGCGGCGCCAUGUAGGCAGGCAGGCAGCUGAGGUGGCACGGUGGUAGGGUCUUCACGAAGAUCUGCAUGCCACCACGCAGGUGGUUGCUGAGUUGGCUUGGAAGCCGGCCGUCGCCACGCAGGUGCCUACCCAGCUAGUUGAGCUAGCAGCCGCUUGGGGACGCGGUGGAGUCUUGGUCGACGCGGGCCUGCCUGUGGCCUCACUGAUGUUCUCGGCAAGGGCCUUGCCGGGGGCCCGGCAAGGGUCUUGCCGUGGCAUUGCAGUCGUCCUCGGCAAGGAUCUUGCCGGGGGUCUUGUGGCUUUCCUCAGCAAGGAUCUUCUCGAGGGUCGUCGUCUUCUGGUCCUCAUUUGAUCUUGUGUGUUUAUGAUCUUGACAAAGAUCUGCAUGCCACCGCAGAGCUGCUUCCCGAGCCCUGGUCCCAAUGUGGUUGGUUUGUUGGAACUCGUGGGCUCAAGGGCGGCUCGCUCUAUUGGUGUUGGGCAAGUUGCCCUGGCAAGGCCAUUGCCGCGGCUGCGGAGGCCGCCCCGGAAAGGACCUUGCCGGGGGGUCCACCUCGCCCUCUUGCUCUUUGGUGUUGUCUUGGCUGUCGUGUGCUUCGGCUUCUGUCCGGCUUCCCUUGUUUGCCCUGCUACGUGCAGCCGUGGCGCGUGGCUCGGACUGCCCGUGCACAAGUAAAGGGGUCAAGAGAGCCCCUACUUUUGUACACCGAUAGGAGCCCCCGGGCCUGGGCCACACAUAAGCGCGACACGUUGUUGGGCCAGGCCCAGAAUGGUGCGCGGGCAGGCGGGGCGGAUUUUACCGCGGUAACUGUUCGAUCGCUGCGCUUCCCCACGACUCGCGUUGAACGCGCGACGUGGGGGGUCAUGCGUGACGUGGGGGUCAUGCGCAAUGCGGUUCCCGCACGCAUGCGUCACGUCGCAGUUAAUGGAAUAGGAGGCGGCCCGCGCCUUCCCCGUAAAAAGGGAUAACCGCGGGCGCGCUGCUCACUUUACCCCCCUUCCUGCGUCUUCUCCAAUCUCAGAGCCGUCGCUCCCUUUCUCCUUCCUUCCCAAGCUCUCGCCUUUGCUCGCUGUCACUGCAUCUUUGCUGUCUUCUGUCCCCCGCCCCUCGCAGCCGCCAUGGCCCCCAAAUCUACCAAGAGCAAGGAAGUGGCCAAGGACGCCGGAGCGGCGGAGCCGCCGGAGAGUGUGUUGGCGGCGUAGCGGAUCCAGCUCGCCUACUUCCCCUCGACGGUCGAUGUGUUCGAGCUCCGGGACUGCUUCAAGCCCCUAUGGGGGUGCAAGACGGGGGGCGGGGGAGAAGACGGGGCAUCCAGCCACGCGUGUCAUCCCCGCCAAUUGUGUCGAGGCCGCCUCAAAUAUGCAUCCAUUCUUCGUUGAUUACUUCUCUUGCGGCCUCUGCCCCCCCUUCUCUGAUUUCUUCAACGACGUCAUGCACACCUACGGCUUCCACCUUUUGGAUUUUACUCCAAAUGCCGUGGUGUGCAUGGCUCUUUUGGCGCACCUCUGCGAGGGUUUCGCCGGGGUGCAUCCCAACACGGCACUCUUCCGCCACUACUUCUUCCCUCGGAUCCAACCGGGGGGCGCCAUUUCCGGUUGCGUCGCCUGGAUCCCACAGUCCAAGGGGGCAUACCCGGAGGGCGCUCAGAAGGAGAGGUGGGAAGAAUGGCGGGGCCGGUGGUGCUGGAUUGAGGAGGAUGAUCCACAAGAUUUCUGCCGGGUUCGCCAGGCGCCGCCGGUUCGGCGGAGCGACUGGAGCAAUGUUGAUGCCGAUGAUGCAAAGCUCACGGUCGCCACCACCAGAAUUCUUCGCCUCACCGAGGUCGGGCUCACCCUUGAGAUGAUCGGGGCUGAUUUCAUCCGCCACCUAAUCACUCCGCUGCACAACAAGGGGAGGCUGGUCUGGCUCUUCACAAACGCCGCCGACAUCAUGAGGCUCCACCCCGGCCUCGACCACAAACUCACGGUGAUAAGGCACGCCCAUCUCUGCCAACGGCUCUUCCAGCUCGACGUGAACCGCGAUGGCGAGGUCGAGCGGUCUGGCAAGGCCGCGAGGGCCUCCGCGAAGGCCGGCAAGGCCGCCAAGGGGCCCUUGUUUAAGUUGCCGGCAGGAGUGGUCCCGCUAUGCAACAACUCUCGCCGGACCGACAUCAUCGCCAUGAUGCCAGACUUCAACGCGCAUGGUCUCGACCCGAGCUGGGUCGAGCUGGAGGAAAUUCAAGUGUAGGAGUUCUUCGACACCUUGCAUCAGGGGUACGUCACCGCCGAACCGCGGCUUGUCCAGGACACCUCCCAGGCGGAGCUGGACUACAUCGCCGCUAGGGCGAUGGAGGUGAAGCUUGCCGAGGAGGCCGGCAGCACCCGUGGCGUGGAGGACAAGGCUGCGGCGGAAGUGGAGGAGAAGGAGCUCGCCCAGUGGGCGGAGGCCGCUGGGGAGGCCAGCAGCGCCGGCACCUUGGCUCCUCUCGUCGAGGAUGUGGUCGAUGAGUCGUCAUCGGAGGAGGCCGAAGCUGUCGACCCUCCGGCCACGGGGAGAGGGCGAGUCAUGCGGCGGGCCACUUCCGGUGAGCCGGUCUGGCCUGUCAAGGCCGCGUAGUGGCCGAAGGCUCCGGAGGAGUCCGCGCGUCAGACUAGGGCCACGGCGGCGAAGAAGGUGGUGAAGGCCGUGGUGGCGAAGAAGAAAGCAUCUGCCUCCUCUUCAUCCAAGCACAUCCAGACUCCGCCCUCCUCCCCUCCUUCGGCAGAUGUCGAUGCAGAGGUCACCUUUGACUUCGGGUCCCUUAGCCCAAGAAGGAAGAGGAAGGCAACCGAGGAGGAGGUGGAUGACGAGUAAGUAUCUUGUUCCUUUUUUUGUCAUCUUCGACUCCCAAAUCUGUGCCGCUUGUCUUGACUUGUUUUCACCUUUGCAGGGAUGCGGAGACGCUGGCCCAGAGGGUAAAGAGGGCCAAGGCCUCGGCGGGUGGCCAGCCCCCAGCGGGUACUUCGAGGGUGCCAGUGGUGGUGUUGAGCAGCCCGGACAGCAACCCCCAGCGUAAGUUCAUCACUCACCCCUUGUCAACAUGUGUUGGGGGUACGAUCUCCUGGUGCUGACCUUGUCGUGGUCGCAGGAGGAGGACAACAGCAGGAGGAGCCACAGAGGGCCACCCCCAACACGCUGCCCCCAUCGACCACGCUGCCCCCAUCGACCACGCCGCCCCGAGGGGCGUCCCCGGCAAGGGCGCCAAGCACCGAGCCCACGCACAUGGAGGAGGAGGAGGAGACCUCGGGCGCCGGUGGCUUCGCCUCGGCGCCAAAUGUUGGCGGGGAGGGGACCUCUGCUUUCCAGCCCGGCGCCGGUAAGUCGCUCGCCUCUCGUUCAUGUUCUUUUUAUUUCCUUGCUGGCUCUUGGUCUUGGCUUUCUCUCAUCCCCUUCCUGGUAUCCAGAUCGUCCGUCGGCGGACCAGGAGGACAUAGACACUGUCAUGGAGGACGUCGCCAAGGCCCCCGAGGCGGAGGCCGAGAAGAUCGCCGCCGAGGAGGCCGCCAAGGGCGCUGGUGAGGACGCCGCCAAGGGGCCUGCCGGGGAGCCCGACAAGGCUACUGCCGAGGAGGCCGGCAAGGGACCUGCCGGGGAGGCCGGCAAGGCCGUCGCCGAGGAGGAGGUGGUUGAUGACCAGCCUUCCUCCUCCGCCGCCUCUGCCUCCGGCAGGUAUCUGAGGGUGAGUGAGGACCUUUUUGUCAACCUCCCAGGGGCGUCCAGCUCCAGGGCGCCCAUCGAGGGAGAGGUGUUCGACGAAGAGGUGCUUGCCGCCGCCGGGCUCGAGGUCGUCGACGAGCCGAGCGCCGGUAGCGACGGAUCUCGGGAGGAGCGGCUUCUCCAGGCUAUGGGCGCCAAUUUUUGGAAGCUCCAGGUGCUCCACCGCGUCCGCUGGACAAGGCCAAGUCCAGGAUCGCAACGGUGGACAAGGCGGAGGCGGACCUCAAUGUGCGUGUCGUCGAGGCGCAGACUUGGUUCUGCCAAGCUAGCAAAGAGCUGAAGGCCACCCAGGGAGAGCUGUCCAAGCGCGACGUGGGGCUCACCAUGAAGCAGGCCGACAUCGAGAAGGCCCAGGAGACGGCGGAGAACUUGGCCGCCGCAGCCGAGGCCGCUCGAACCCAUCACCAGGCCGCGCUGAACUCCCAGGAGGAGGUCCUUGCCGCGCGUGAGGAGAAGCUUGCCGCAACGCUCCGCGGCAAGGAUGAUGAGGUGGAGAAGCUCGUCGUGCAGUGGACCCAAGAGCUGGAGCAAAGGCAUAGGGAGGCACUCAAUGCCCAGGCUCUGGUUCAUGCUGGCAAGGUGAAGGAGCUGGGUGUAGGACGAGCUGAAGAAGCAGGCCCUGGAGCUGAUGUGGGAGAGGGAUGCGGCCAAGGGUGCCUUGGCUGACGUGCAGGCCGCGGUCCUCGGCAAGGCCGAGCUGCUCUACACUGCCAACAACUCCAUCAAGGACUUGAAGCUGAAGCUGGAAGUCCUUGAGGGGAUGCUCUCAGAGGCCAAGGCCCGGGAGGGGACCCUGGCCAAGGAGCUGGAGACCGAGAAGCAGCUGCGGAAGAACGAGGCCGCCAACCAUGAGGAUUCCAUGGAGGGUGUGAACCGCUGGAUCGGCCGUCUCGUGGAUGUCGCUGGCAGGAUCACCAUGCAGCUGGCUACCAUGGGGAUGCCAAAUGUGAGGUACGGCCCAGAGCGCAGCGGGACUACCAACGGCAAGCUGACCCUGUUCUUCGAGGGCGUCCAUGGGGCCCUGGAGCAGCUUUACUCCAACCGGGUGGCCUCCCUGGCCGAUGAGUCCCGGAGACUUUGCCGGGGUGCCAUGACCAAGGUCCUCACCAAGGUGGCGUACUGGUAUCCUGACCUCGAUUUCGACGCCGCACUAGAGAGCUUGCCGGAGGAUGCUGACCUCGCGCCGCUCAAGGAGCAUAUCAAGCCCAUCAUCAGCGGUAUCGACAGAAUCCAGUGGGUGGAGGGCCAGCACCGGGAUUAGGCAUCCCGUUUCGUAUCGUCGCUGCAGGUUCAUUACCAAGACAAUUUCUAUCUUUAGAUAGAACCGCGGCGGCAAUUGAUGUAAUAUAACUCUGCAGUACUUUUGAUAUUAUGCAUGUUAUUUUCCUGUUCGAUCUCUCUUUGUAUGUCCACCCUACGUUUAUCGGGUAGGCUUGCCAGCGCGUAAACCCAGGGCGGCGUCUUGGGGAUGGAUCCCCAAUGGCCUGCCGGGUGUGCUUGCGGCCAGGCGAACCACCUUACCGCCCUUAACGCGGCCGCUCGAACUGUCGAGCUUGACUCGAGUCAGAAUCGAGAGCGUUGCCAAUUGCGGAAGGCUACCCUGCCGCUCUCGACGCGGUCGCUUGAGCUGUUGAGCGGACUCGAACAGAACAAGGGUGUUGCCAAUCGCGGGAGGGCCCCUUUGCGGGUAGGUUUUCCAUAUAAAGAACGAGACCUCCGAGGGGAAUAACCUCAUAUAUAAAAAGGAAAUACUUAAAGUUCGGCAUGACUUAGCUUUUCUGUCGUCGCACGGGCAUCCACCACAUGCACGGAUGGUGCCGUCAAGCUCGAUCGUCUUCUUCCUUGGAACGAUGGCCGCCAUGAACCCGCUGCUUCGAUUAGACCAGAUUUUCACAACCGCGUUCCCCUACCUAGCGCGCCAAGGAUGUCGGUGAGAACGACACCUAUGGGAUCACAAGAAUCCCUACUAUGUUUGGCGGGGCGCGGGGUUGUGAGAAGAGCAGGUCUAACAGGAAG
Molecule: long non-coding RNA, 6661 nt
Filed under: Triticum aestivum (bread wheat)
Lineage: Eukaryota; Viridiplantae; Streptophyta; Magnoliopsida; Poales; Poaceae
Description: long non-coding RNA (TAES_LNC023915)
Source: RNAcentral